GUGACACCGCCGCGCCGCCGUGUGGUUAGGAUGACCUGGCCCGUGGGGAAGUCCGGUGUGAGUCCGGUGCUGUCCCGCAACUGUCAGGUCGUUCGCGAUCCGAAGCCAGAUACCCGCGGGUGCAGUGACGAACGG
RNAcentral lists this non-coding RNA (135 nucleotides) under Nocardia nova. Lineage: Bacteria; Bacillati; Actinomycetota; Actinomycetes; Mycobacteriales; Nocardiaceae. The record is from RNAcentral.